This 468-nucleotide ribosomal RNA is filed under the name uncultured bacterium. RNAcentral describes it as "partial 16S ribosomal RNA". It matches the Rfam family "Bacterial small subunit ribosomal RNA", at positions 28 to 507 of the family's 1533-position model. The record is from RNAcentral.
GACGAACGCUGGCGGCGUGCUUAACACAUGCAAGUCGAGCGGAAAGGCCCUGCUUUUGUGGGGUGCUCGAGUGGCGAACGGGUGAGUAACACGUGAGUAACCUGUCCUUGACUUUGGGAUAACUUCAGGAAACUGGGGCUAAUACCGGAUAGGAGCUCCUGCUGCAUGGUGGGGGUUGGAAAGUUUCGGCGGUUGGGGAUGGACUCGCGGCUUAUCAGCUUGUUGGUGGGGUAGUGGCUUACCAAGGCUUUGACGGGUAGCCGGCCUGAGAGGGUGACCGGCCACAUUGGGACUGAGAUACGGCCCAGACUCCUACGGGAGGCAGCAGUGGGGAAUAUUGCACAAUGGGCGGAAGCCUGAUGCAGCAACGCCGCGUGCGGGAUGACGGCCUUCGGGUUGUAAACCGCUUUCGCCUGUGACGAAGCGUGAGUGACGGUAAUGGGUAAAGAAGCACCGGCUAACUACGUG